This 2896-nucleotide ribosomal RNA is filed under the name Clostridioides difficile. RNAcentral describes it as "23S ribosomal RNA". It matches the Rfam family "Bacterial large subunit ribosomal RNA". Lineage: Bacteria; Bacillati; Bacillota; Clostridia; Peptostreptococcales; Peptostreptococcaceae. The record is from RNAcentral.
UCAAGUUAUUAAGGGUGCAGGGCGGAUGCCUUGGCACUAGGAGCCGAUGAAGGACGUGAUAAGCUGCGAUAAGCUUCGGGGAGUUGCACGUAAACUUUGAUCCGAAGAUUUCCGAAUGAGGAAACUCACUUAGAGUAAUGUCUAAGUAUCAUUAAGUGAAUACAUAGCUUAAUGAGGGGAACUCAGGGAACUGAAACAUCUAAGUACCUGAAGGAAGAGAAAGAAAUUCGAUUCCGUAAGUAGCGGCGAGCGAACGCGGAUUAGCCCAAACCAAUAAAGUUUUCUUUAUUGGGGUUGCGGACAUAUCAUAACGAAGAGGUAUCGUAAUUGAAGAGGUUUGGAAAGACCCACCACAGAAGGUAAUAGUCCUGUAUGUUAAACGAGAAGACUUCAGAUAUGAUCCAGAGUACCACGGGACACGUGAAACCCUGUGGGAAGCAGGAGGGACCACCCUCCAAGGCUAAAUACUACCUAGUGACCGAUAGCGUAUAGUACCGUGAGGGAAAGGUGAAAAGAACCCCGGGAGGGGAGUGAAAUAGAACCUGAAACCCUGCACUUACAAGCUGUGGAAGCACAUUUCUUGUGUGACCGCGUACUUUUUGUAGAACGGGCCAACGAGUUACGUUAAGUAGCAAGGUUAAGCACUUAAGGUGUGGAGCCGUAGCGAAAGCGAGUUUUAACUGAGCGUUCAGUUACUUGACGUAGACCCGAAACCGGGCGACCUACCCAUGAGCAGGAUGAAGCGAAAGUAAAAUUUCGUGGAGGUCCGAACCCACGAGCGUUGAAAAGCUCGGGGAUGACUUGUGGGUUGCGGUGAAAUUCCAAUCGAGCCCGGAGAUAGCUGGUUCUCCCCGAAAUAGCUUUAGGGCUAGCCUCAAGGUGAGAGAUACGGAGGUAGAGCACUGAAUGUCCUAGGGGGUAUUGCACCUACCGAAGACUAUCAAACUCCGAAUGCCGUCAUCUUAUACUUGGGAGUCAGACUGUGGGUGAUAAGAUUCAUAGUCGAAAGGGCAACAGCCCAGAUCGUCAGCUAAGGUCCCUAAAUGUAAGUUAAGUGGUAAAGGAUGUGGGAUUGCACAGACAACCAGGAUGUUGGCUUAGAAGCAGCCACUCAUUCAAAGAGUGCGUAAUAGCUCACUGGUCGAGUGAUCCUGCGCCGAAGAUUUCCGGGGCUAAAACUUACUACCGAAGCUACGGCAUCAGUAAUGAUGGGUAGGGGAGCUUCCCAUACGGGUUGAAGCAUGACCGUAAGGACAUGUGGACAGUAUGGGAGUGAGAAUGUUGGCAUGAGUAGCGAGAUGUGGGUGAGAAUCCCACAGGCCGUAAACCCAAGGUUUCCAGGGGAAGGUUCGUCCGCCCUGGGUUAGUCGGGACCUAAGCUGAGGCCGAAAGGCGUAGGUGAUGGACAACAGGUUGAUAUUCCUGUACUACCGAUAACCGUUUGAGAGAAGGGAUGACACAGUAGGAUAAGCUAAGCACACUGUUGGUUAUGUGUGCCCAAGCAUUGAGGCAGUCAAAGUAGGCAAAUCCGCUUUGAUAAUGCUGGGAUGUGAUGGGGAGCGAAAUUUAGUAGCGAAGUAGCUGAUUUCACACUGUCAAGAAAAGUCUCUAUCGAGGUUAAAGGUACCCGUACCGCAAACCGACACAGGUGGGUGAGGAGAGUAUCCUAAGGCCAGCGAGAGAACUGUUGUUAAGGAACUCGGCAAAAUGACCCCGUAACUUAGGGAUAAGGGGUGCCACCAUCAGGUGGCCGCAGAGAAUAGGCCCAAGCGACUGUUUACCAAAAACAUAGGUUUCUGCUAAGUCGCAAGACGAUGUAUAGGAGCUGACGCCUGCCCGGUGCUGGAAGGUUAAGGGGAUCUGUUAGAGCAAUCGAAGCAGUGAACUUAAGCCCCAGUAAACGGCGGCCGUAACUAUAACGGUCCUAAGGUAGCGAAAUUCCUUGUCGGGUAAGUUCCGACCCGCACGAAAGGCGUAACGAUUUGGGCACUGUCUCAACAACAGACUCGGUGAAAUUGUAAUUCCGGUGAAGAUGCCGGAUACCUGCGACAGGACGGAAAGACCCCAUGGAGCUUUACUGUAGCUUGACAUUGGGUCUUGGUACUACAUGUACAGGAUAGGUGGGAGGCUUUGAAACCAGGACGCCAGUUUUGGCGGAGCCAUCCUUGGGAUACCACCCUUGUAGUACUGGGACUCUAACCAUAGGCCAUGAAUCUGGUCUUGGGACACUGUCAGGUGGGCAGUUUGACUGGGGCGGUCGCCUCCCAAAAGGUAACGGAGGCGCUCAAAGGUUCUCUCAGUACGGUCGGAAAUCGUACGUAGAGUGUAAAGGCAAAAGAGAGCUUGAUUGCAAGACAUACAGGUCGAGCAAGGAUGAAAAUCGGACUUAGUGAUCCGGUGGUUCUGCGUGGAAGGGCCAUCGCUCAACGGAUAAAAGCUACCCUGGGGAUAACAGGCUUAUCUCCCCCAAGAGUCCACAUCGACGGGGAGGUUUGGCACCUCGAUGUCGGCUCAUCACAUCCUGGGGCUGUAGUAGGUCCCAAGGGUUGGGCUGUUCGCCCAUUAAAGUGGUACGCGAGCUGGGUUCAGAACGUCGUGAGACAGUUCGGUCCCUAUCCGUCGCAGGCGUAGGAAAUUUGAGAAGACCUGUCCUUAGUACGAGAGGACCGGGAUGGACGUACCUCUGGUGUACCAGUUGUUCUGCCAAGGGCAUGGCUGGGUAGCUAUGUACGGAAUGGAUAAGCGCUGAAAGCAUCUAAGCGCGAAGCCAACUUCAAGAUAAGAUUUCCCACCGCAAGGGUAAGACCCCAGAAAGACUAUCUGGUUGAUAGGUCGAAGGUGUAAGUGCAGCAAUGUAUUUAGCUUAUCGAUACUAAUAGGUCGAGGACUUGACCAA